Molecule: transfer RNA, 74 nt
Filed under: Loxodonta africana (African savanna elephant)
Lineage: Eukaryota; Metazoa; Chordata; Mammalia; Proboscidea; Elephantidae
Rfam family: tRNA
About the family: Transfer RNA (tRNA) molecules are approximately 80 nucleotides in length. Their secondary structure includes four short double-helical elements and three loops (D, anti-codon, and T loops).
Source: Rfam by way of RNAcentral
GCAUUGGUGGCUCCCCAUUGGUAGAGUUCUCACCUCCCAUGUGAGAGACCCAGGUUCGAUUCCUAGCUGAAGCA